Molecule: transfer RNA, 82 nt
Filed under: Dallia pectoralis (Alaska blackfish)
Lineage: Eukaryota; Metazoa; Chordata; Actinopteri; Esociformes; Umbridae
Description: tRNA-Ser
Rfam family: tRNA
About the family: Transfer RNA (tRNA) molecules are approximately 80 nucleotides in length. Their secondary structure includes four short double-helical elements and three loops (D, anti-codon, and T loops). Further hydrogen bonds mediate the characteristic L-shaped molecular structure. tRNAs have two regions of fundamental functional importance: the anti-codon, which is responsible for specific mRNA codon recognition, and the 3' end, to which the tRNAs corresponding amino acid is attached (by aminoacyl-tRNA synthetases). tRNAs cope with the degeneracy of the genetic code in two manners: having more than one tRNA (with a specific anti-codon) for a particular amino acid; and 'wobble' base-pairing, i.e. permitting non-standard base-pairing at the 3rd anti-codon position.
Source: RNAcentral
GCUGUGAUGGCCGAGUGGUUAAGGUGUUGGAUUUGAAAUCCAAUGGGGUUUCCCUGCGCAGGUUGGAACCCUGCUCUCAGCG